UGCCAGCAGCCGCGGUAAUACGUAGGGUGCGAGCGUUGUCCGGAAUUACUGGGCGUAAAGAGCUCGUAGGUGGUUUGUCGCGUUGUUCGUGAAAUCUCACGGCUUAACUGUGAGCGUGCGGGCGAUACGGGCAGACUAGAGUACUGCAGGGGAGACUGGAAUUCCUGGUGUAGCGGUGGAAUGCGCAGAUAUCAGGAGGAACACCGGUGGCGAAGGCGGGUCUCUGGGCAGUAACUGACGCUGAGGAGCGAAAGCGUGGGGAGCGAACAGGAUUAGAUACCCUGGUAGUCCACGCCGUAAACGGUGGGUACUAGGUGUGGGUUUCCUUCCUUGGGAUCCGUGCCGUAGCUAACGCAUUAAGUACCCCGCCUGGGGAGUACGGCCGCAAGGCUAAAAACUCAAAGGAAUUGACGGGGGCCCGCACAAGCGGCGGAGCAUGUGGAUUAAUUCGAUGCAACGCGAAGAACCUUACCUGGGUUUGACAUGCACAGGACGCGUCUAGAGAUAGGCGUUCCCUUGUGGCCUGUGUGCAGGUGGUGCAUGGCUGUCGUCAGCUCGUGUCGUGAGAUGUUGGGUUAAGUCCCGCAACGAGCGCAACCCCCGUCUCAUGUUGCCAGCGGGUAAUGCCGGGGACUCGUGAGAGACUGCCGGGGUCAACUCGGAGGAAGGUGGGGAUGACGUCAAGUCAUCAUGCCCCUUAUGUCCAGGGCUUCACACAUGCUACAAUGGCCGGUACAAAGGGCUGCGAUGCCGCAAGGUUAAGCGAAUCCUUUUAAAGCCGGUCUCAGUUCGGAUCGGGGUCUGCAACUCGACCCCGUGAAGUCGGAGUCG
RNAcentral lists this ribosomal RNA (831 nucleotides) under uncultured Mycobacterium sp. RNAcentral's name for it is "bacterial SSU rRNA". It matches the Rfam family "Bacterial small subunit ribosomal RNA", at positions 506 to 1334 of the family's 1533-position model. The record is from RNAcentral. Lineage: Bacteria; Bacillati; Actinomycetota; Actinomycetes; Mycobacteriales; Mycobacteriaceae.